Molecule: small RNA, 20 nt
Filed under: Arabidopsis thaliana (thale cress)
Lineage: Eukaryota; Viridiplantae; Streptophyta; Magnoliopsida; Brassicales; Brassicaceae
Description: Ath_wt_09553
Source: RNAcentral
GGCCUCGAUGAGUAGGAGGG